RNAcentral lists this ribosomal RNA (344 nucleotides) under uncultured bacterium. Its description in RNAcentral is "bacterial SSU rRNA". It matches the Rfam family "Bacterial small subunit ribosomal RNA", at positions 8 to 334 of the family's 1533-position model. The record is from RNAcentral.
AGGGUUUGAUUAUGGCUCAGGAUGAACGCUGGCGGCGUGCUUAAUACAUGCAAGUCGAGCGAAGCGCUUUAACGGAAUUCUUCGGAAGGAAGAUAAAGUGACUGAGCGGCGGACGGGUGAGUAACGCGUGGGUAACCUGCCUCAUACAGGGGGAUAACAGUUAGAAAUGGCUGCUAAUACCGCAUAAGCGCACAGGACCGCAUGGUCUGGUGUGAAAAACUCCGGUGGUAUGGGAUGGACCCGCGUUGGAUUAGCUAGUUGGUGGGGUAACGGCCUACCAAGGCGACGAUCCAUAGCCGGCCUGAGAGGGUGGACGGCCACAUUGGGACUGAGACACGGCCCAG